CUCGCCUCUCUCUCUCUCUCCCUCACAGUACCCCCUUUCCCACCGCGCUGCAGCCGCCAUGACCAUCACCAUCGUCGCGGCCGACGACCUCCCCGGCGCCUGAGAAUACAUCCAGGGGCUCCACCGUCGUCGUAUUCUUCACCCUCGACAAAGGGGUCGAGCUAGGAGGCCCCGUUCGCCCGCCAUCUCCAUCGUCUUCCUCGCGUACACCGUCGUCCGUCGCCAGAUGCCGAUGCUCCCGGCCAUCCCCGACCUCCUCAAGCUCGCCCACGGCCUCAAAGUGAGCUCCUCUUCCGAUUCCCAACCUUUCCCCUUUGAUUUGUCGCCGUUUGUCGUCGUCCCUGAGCUCGGUCGUCCUCGUCCAUGGCCGCCUUCGAGCUUCCGAGCAUGCGCACGCGCCUGCCUGCUCCUGUCGAUGGCCGCGCCCUGGUUGCAUCGUGCGCGCACCCACGCUUCUGCUCCCCUGCGCCUGCACGCGUGUCCGCGCUCCCACGGCCCUGCCUGCAGUUUUUCUUGCUACUGCGUGGCUCCGCUGCUCCCUGUCGCCACUGCUGUUGCGCUAGUGCUGCUGCUUGCUGCUUCCUGGCGCAACGGGUCUGCUCCUCGCUCCUACUGAUGUUCAUGCUAGCCGCUGCCUUAUUGAUGCGUUUUUGCUGCUGCUACUGAUGGCAAUGGCCGUCGUGGCUUGGUGUGCCCAUGCCUACCAUAGCCGUGGCACAUCCACUGGAUGUGAGGCCGGCCCUUGCUUAGUCAGAUUAGUUUAGCUUAGGAUUAAAUUGUUAAUUACUUAGUGCAUAGAAAAUGACAUGUGGGACCACAUCGAUUAAUUAACAUUUUGUUAAAGUAAAGUCAAUGACAAUUUGAACCCGCAUACACUGUUCAUAUAUUGACCAGUUAAUCUUUGACUGGGUCAAACCAUGCCCACUAACCCCACUGGCAUACACUCUAGCUAGAAUAGCACUAGGUAAAAACGUAUAUUCUAUUUUUAAUUCGAAUUAAUAAUAAAUCCAAAAAACAUUAAAACUUUGAAAAUCAUAUAAAAUAAUCCGUAACUUGGAUGAAAUAUUUUAUACAUGAAAGUUGCUCGAAACGACGAGACGAAUCCGAAUACGGGGCCCGUUUGUCAGCCAUCCGUUCCUAGCAUAGCGAACAUGCAACUUUCCCACUCCGAUUCAUCUGUCUGAAAACACGAAACACCGGGGAUAUUUUCCCCCUUCACCGGUAUCACCUAGUACUGUGUGAGGUCACCUCUAGCACCACGCAUUGCCACAUUACGUUUUGUGUUACUUUGAUUGCUCUGUUAUUUAUUGUAUUCCCCCUCCGUUACUUCUUUCCGGUAGACCCCGAGACUGCCGGCGACCCCCAGUUCGACUACGGUGUUGACGACCCCUCUCUCUUGCCAAAGCAACCAGGCAAGCCCCCCCCCUUGAUCAGCAGAUAUCGCCUACUCUAC
This 1453-nucleotide long non-coding RNA is filed under the name Triticum aestivum (bread wheat). Its description in RNAcentral is "long non-coding RNA (TAES_LNC001898)". The record is from RNAcentral. Lineage: Eukaryota; Viridiplantae; Streptophyta; Magnoliopsida; Poales; Poaceae.